RNAcentral lists this ribosomal RNA (475 nucleotides) under Conchiformibius steedae. RNAcentral describes it as "bacterial SSU rRNA". It matches the Rfam family "Bacterial small subunit ribosomal RNA", at positions 9 to 478 of the family's 1533-position model. The record is from RNAcentral. Lineage: Bacteria; Pseudomonadati; Pseudomonadota; Betaproteobacteria; Neisseriales; Neisseriaceae.
GAGUUUGAUUAUGGCUCAGAUUGAACGCUGGCGGCAUGCUUUACACAUGCAAGUCGAACGGCAGCGGGGAAGUGCUUGCACUUCUGCCGGCGAGUGGCGAACGGGUGAGUAAUGCAUUGGAACGUACCGGGUAAUGGGGGAUAACUUGCCGAAAGGUAAGCUAAUACCGCAUACGCUUUAAGAAGGAAAGCGGGGGAUCAUCUGACCUCGCGUUAUCCGAGCGGCCAAUGUCUGAUUAGCUAGUUGGUGGGGUAAAAGCCUACCAAGGCAACGAUCAGUAGCGGGUCUGAGAGGAUGAUCCGCCACACUGGGACUGAGACACGGCCCAGACUCCUACGGGAGGCAGCAGUGGGGAAUUUUGGACAAUGGGCGCAAGCCUGAUCCAGCCAUGCCGCGUGUCUGAAGAAGGCCUUCGGGUUGUAAAGGACUUUUGUCGGGGAAGAAAAGGUUGUGGCUAAUACCCAUGACUGAUGAC